GGCCCAAUGGUGUAAUUGGCAACACGGCAGAUUCUGGUUCUGUUGUUCCAGGUUCGAGUCCUGGUUGGGCUAC
RNAcentral lists this transfer RNA (73 nucleotides) under Roseimaritima multifibrata. RNAcentral's name for it is "Planctomycetes bacterium FF011L tRNA-Gln". It matches the Rfam family "tRNA". Rfam says of the family: Transfer RNA (tRNA) molecules are approximately 80 nucleotides in length. Their secondary structure includes four short double-helical elements and three loops (D, anti-codon, and T loops). The record is from RNAcentral. Lineage: Bacteria; Pseudomonadati; Planctomycetota; Planctomycetia; Pirellulales; Pirellulaceae.